GAUGAACGCUGGCGGCGUGCCUAAUACAUGCAAGUCGAGCGAACAGAUGAGGAGCUUGCUCCUCUGACGUUAGCGGCGGACGGGUGAGUAACACGUGGAUAACCUACCUAUAAGACUGGGAUAACUUCGGGAAACCGGAGCUAAUACCGGAUAAUAUAUUGAACCGCAUGGUUCAAUAGUGAAAGACGGUUUUGCUGUCACUUAUAGAUGGAUCCGCGCCGCAUUAGCUAGUUGGUAAGGUAACGGCUUACCAAGGCAACGAUGCGUAGCCGACCUGAGAGGGUGAUCGGCCACACUGGAGCGGAGACACGGACCAGACUCCUACGGGAGGCAGCAGUAGGGAAUCUUCCGCAAUGGGCGAAAGCCUGACGGGGCAACGCCGCGUGAGUGAUGAAGGUCUUCGGAUCGUAAAACUCUGUUAUUAGGGAAGAACAAAUGUGUAAGUAACUAUGCACGUCUUGACGGUACCUAAUCAGAAAGCCACGGCUAACUACGUG
This 497-nucleotide ribosomal RNA is filed under the name uncultured bacterium. RNAcentral describes it as "partial 16S ribosomal RNA". It matches the Rfam family "Bacterial small subunit ribosomal RNA", at positions 28 to 507 of the family's 1533-position model. The record is from RNAcentral.